Molecule: ribosomal RNA, 439 nt
Filed under: uncultured bacterium
Lineage: Bacteria
Description: partial 16S ribosomal RNA
Rfam family: Bacterial small subunit ribosomal RNA
Source: RNAcentral
CCUACGGGAGGCAGCAGUGGGGAAUAUUGCACAAUGGGCGAAAGCCUGAUGCAGCAACGCCGCGUGAGCGAUGAAGGCCUUCGGGUCGUAAAGCUCUGUCCUCAAGGAAGAUAAUGACGGUACUUGAGGAGGAAGCCCCGGCCAACUACGUGCCAGCAGCCGCGGUAAUACGUAGGGGGCUAGCGUUAUCCGGAAUUACUGGGCGUAAGGGGUGUGUAGGUGGUUUCUUAAGUCAGAGGUAAAAGGCUACGGCUCAACCGUAGUAAGCCUUUGAAACUGGGAAACUUGAGUGCAGGAGAGGAGAGUGGAAUUCCUAGGGUAGCGGUGAAAUGCGUAGAUAUUAGGAGGAACACCAGUUGCGAAGGCGGCUCUCUGGACUGUAACUGACACUGAGGCACGAAAGCGUGGGGAGCAAACAGGAUUAGAUACCCGGGUAGUC